Molecule: ribosomal RNA, 464 nt
Filed under: uncultured bacterium
Lineage: Bacteria
Description: partial 16S ribosomal RNA
Rfam family: Bacterial small subunit ribosomal RNA
Source: RNAcentral
UUACGGGGGGCAGCAGUGGGGAAUAUUGGACAAUGGGGGAAACCCUGAUCCAGCAAUGCCGCGUGUGUGAAGAAGGCCUGCGGGUUGUAAAGCACUUUCGGUUGGGAGGACUGCUUCUAGCACUAAUAUUGUUGGAAGUUGACGUUACCUUCAGAAGAAGCACCGGCUAACUCCGUGCCAGAGCCGCGGUAAUACGGAGGGUGCACGCGUUAAUCGGAAUUACUGGGCGUAAAGCGCGCGUAGGCGGCUAGAUCAGUCGGGUGUGAAAGCCCCGGGCUUAACCUGGGAACUGCAUCCGAUACUGUCUAGCUUGAGUACAGGAGAGGAGAGUGGAAUUCCACAUGUAGCGGUGAAAUGCGUAGAUAUGUGGAGGAACACCAAUGGCGAAGGCAGCUCUCUGGCCUGAUACUGACGCUGAGGUGCGAAAGCGUGGGGAGCAAGCAGGAUUAGAUACCCGCGUAGUC